This 440-nucleotide ribosomal RNA is filed under the name uncultured bacterium. RNAcentral describes it as "partial 16S ribosomal RNA". It matches the Rfam family "Bacterial small subunit ribosomal RNA", at positions 338 to 795 of the family's 1533-position model. The record is from RNAcentral.
CCUACGGGUGGCAGCAGUGGGGAAUAUUGCACAAUGGGGGAAACCCUGAUGCAGCAACGCCGCGUGAGUGAUGACGGCCUUCGGUUUGUAAAGCUCUGUCUUCAGGGACGAUAAUGACGGUACCUUAGGAUGAAGCCCCGGCUAACUACGUGCCACCAGCCGCGGUGAUACGUAGGUGGCGAGCGUUUUCCGGAUUUACUGGGCGUAAGGGGAGCGUAGGCGGAAUUUUAAGUGAGAUGUGAAAUACUCGGGCUCAAAUGGAGUGCUGCAUUUCAAACUGGAAGUCUAGAGUGCAGGAGAGGAGAACGGAAUGCCUAGUGUAGCGGUGAAAUGCGUAGAGAUUAGGAAGAACACCAGUGGCGAAGGCGAUUCUCUGGACUGUAACUGACGCUGAGGCUCGAAAGCGUGGGGAGCAAACAGGAUUAGAUACCCUUGUAGUC